RNAcentral lists this non-coding RNA (25 nucleotides) under Mus musculus (house mouse). Lineage: Eukaryota; Metazoa; Chordata; Mammalia; Rodentia; Muridae. The record is from RNAcentral.
UGGUGCAUAAUAUCCCUUCCCCAGA